This 235-nucleotide ribosomal RNA is filed under the name uncultured bacterium. RNAcentral's name for it is "partial 16S ribosomal RNA". It matches the Rfam family "Bacterial small subunit ribosomal RNA", at positions 97 to 334 of the family's 1533-position model. The record is from RNAcentral.
GGCGGACGGGUGAGUAAUGUAUAGUUAAUCUGCCCUUUAGAGGGGGAUAACAGUUGGAAACGACUGCUAAUACCCCAUACUCCUUUUAUCUUAAUGAUAAUUGGGAAACGUUUUUUCGCUAAAGGAUGAGACUAUAUGGUAUCAGGUAGUUGGUGGGGUAAGAGCCUACCAAGCCAAUGACGCCUAGCUGGUCUGAGAGGAUGAUCAGCCACACUGGAACUGAGACACGGUCCAG